This 516-nucleotide long non-coding RNA is filed under the name Papio anubis (olive baboon). RNAcentral's name for it is "lncRNA (ENSPANG00000044131.1)". The record is from RNAcentral. Lineage: Eukaryota; Metazoa; Chordata; Mammalia; Primates; Cercopithecidae.
ACAGGCGGAUGGCACUCAUUCCCAGCGAAGAACGGGGCCAGAGGAUGACUUCCAAGCUCAGUCAGGAGCCAGGAGGAGAUUCUUUAGAGUGCACAAGAGCUGGUCCGAGAUGGCUGAAUAGGAGCAGCUCCAGGCUACAGCUCCCAGCGUGAGCGACACAGAAGACAGGCUUCCUUUAUUGAAUGUAUCUGCUGUACUGGAAAUUACUCUGGGAAAUUGUUAUGUAAAUAACCAUGUUGCUGCUCACCUUGGCGCUUGAACCUCUGACUACAAGUAGGGUCUGAGAACCACCAGAGCUGGUUAGAAAGGCAGAGUUUCCCGCCCCACCCAGAUCCCAGUCAUGACGCCUGGGUGAUCUGCAGGAGCAUUGCAGCCUGACAGCCCUGAGCUAGACUGGAGUUGCCCUGUGGAAAGCAGUUCCACUCACUGGAAGCCUGUGAACCAGAGGGCCUGCUGUGUGCCUGCUUCUUACUUCGUCUCAGUCCCAGAGGCAUAGUCAGACUGGCUUCUAUGCCU